AGACGGGGGCCCGCACAAGCGUGGAUGAUGUGGAUUAAUUCGAUGCAACGCGAAGAACCUUACCUACCCUUGACAUGUCCGGAACUUGCCAGAGAUGGCUUGGUGCCCGAAAGGGAAUCGGAACACAGGUGCUGCAUGGCUGUCGUCAGCUCGUGUCGUGAGAUGUUGGGUUAAGUCCCGCAACGAGCGCAACCCUUAUCAUUAGUUGCUACGCAAGGGCACUCUAAUGAGACUGCCGGUGACAAACCGGAGGAAGUGGGGAUGACGUCAAGUCCUCAUGGCCCUUAUGGGUAGGGCUUCACACGUCAUACAAUGGUCGGUACAGAGGGUUGCCAAGCCGCGAGGCGGAGCCAAUCCCACAAAGCCGAUCGUAGUCCGGAUUGUUCUCUGCAACUCGAGAGCAUGAAGUCGGAAUCGCUAGUAAUCGCAGGUCAGCAUACUGCGGUGAAUACGUUCCCGGGUCUU
This 465-nucleotide ribosomal RNA is filed under the name uncultured Thiobacillus sp. Its description in RNAcentral is "bacterial SSU rRNA". It matches the Rfam family "Bacterial small subunit ribosomal RNA", at positions 912 to 1382 of the family's 1533-position model. Lineage: Bacteria; Pseudomonadati; Pseudomonadota; Betaproteobacteria; Nitrosomonadales; Thiobacillaceae. The record is from RNAcentral.